GAGGCUAGAAAUCAAAAUUUGGCUCUACAGACCCAUGAUAUUCCCUCUCUGAUCUACUUCUCUGGACAUCUGGGUUUCCUGUGGAUUGUGUUCAAUCAGCAAUGUUGAGUACUUAUAUGGAAAAACAAGCAAACAAACAUAAAACAACAGCAACAAGUCGAAGCAGGAAUUCAGGUUACAAGACAAAGACUUCAAUUUUUGCUCAGACACAGAGGCCAUUCCCAAGAACUCAACACAGGAAAGCUGGCCUCUGCCCCCAGAAGCUUCCAGGCGAAGGAGAACAGUCAAGGAUCCAAAGUCCUAGGUGCUCAGCUGGAGGUGAUUUCCACUCACACCAAUCUUCCAAAACCCUGGGACUUGGGACCGAGCAGCAGCAUUAUGUCAUUUCCAGGCAAAGCCCUAAGUUCUGUCUUCGCUUCAUGUGGUCUCUUUUCGCAUUUUGCACUUCGUCAUUUGCUGCUUCAUCUGACCUAACUCAAUGA
This 482-nucleotide long non-coding RNA is filed under the name Papio anubis (olive baboon). Its description in RNAcentral is "lncRNA (ENSPANG00000040858.1)". Lineage: Eukaryota; Metazoa; Chordata; Mammalia; Primates; Cercopithecidae. The record is from RNAcentral.